RNAcentral lists this antisense RNA (500 nucleotides) under Streptomyces curacoi. RNAcentral describes it as "Saccharopolyspora sRNA 350". It matches the Rfam family "Saccharopolyspora sRNA 350". The record is from Rfam by way of RNAcentral. Lineage: Bacteria; Bacillati; Actinomycetota; Actinomycetes; Kitasatosporales; Streptomycetaceae.
CGGGCGGUGUACUCCCAGAUGGCCUCCCCGUCGAGCAGCGCCGUGUCGCCGAAGUACGCGCCGUCGGCGAGCACGCCGAGGACCGCGUCGUCGCCGUAGGGGCCGGUGCCGACCUUCUCCACCCUGCCGUGCGCCAGCAGGUACACCUCGUCGGUCCGGCUGCCGAACGAUGCGAUCACGUCACCCGGGGCGUACUCCCGCUGCUGGCAGCGCUGGGCGAGCUCGGAGAGCACACCGGCGCCGUCGUCGAACGUCCGCAGCGCCGGCAGCUCGCGCAACUCCGGGGGGACGACCUCGACACGGUCGCCGGUCUUCAAGAAGGUGAUGCGGCCGUCCCCCAUGGCGUAGGUCAGACGCCGGUUCACCCGGUACGUGCCGCCCUGCACAUUCACCCAUGGCAGGGUGCGCAGCAGCCAGCGGGAGCUGAUCUCCUGCAUCUGGGGUGCGGACUUGGUCGUGGUGGCCAGGUUCCGCGCGGCCGCGGUGCCGAGACUCUGCUG